CAUGAAAGUACGGUCAAGUUCAGAUGAAAACAGCAAGACUCAGACAUUACAAUAAUUUCAUGCACCACAUAUAGUUACUUAUUAAAGCAUCUGAGAAACAGACCAAAUCACUUAACUUUUAACUUUGAUAACUGAUCCAUGAAAUGAGGUGAGGUCAGAUGAACCCUGUCAAACACACAUGUUGACAUUGCAAGGAACCCAUAUACCACAUAUAGUUAUCCUAUUACUCAUAAUAAGUGAAAAAUUCACAUUCCAAAAAAGCCAUAAUUUUUUUUUUCAAGCAGUCGCUGAACCAUGAAAAUGAGGUCAAGGACAAUAGACAUAUGACAGAUGGAAACUUCCUAACCUAAGAAAGACAUUACAAGAAGAAAAUGAAACAGAUGAAUAAGAAAGAUUCAACAAUUAACAUUAAUAUCGAAUCAGAAAUAAAGAACUGAGAACAAAAAAGUAGCUAUAUAGCAAAAUUGUGCAUGGAUAUUAUUGAAAUAUCUUUGCAGUACUGCAAUGUGAUGUUAUCUGCCCCUGCGGACAUUGCGGUUAUACCAUACUGCACUCUCAGGAUAAUAAAACUCCAUCAACAUUAUACAAUAGAAAUAAUGCAAACAGAAAUAAAUCCUUGAGUAAAUACAGUUGAUUGGAAGUUAAUGAGGUUUCCAGGACAAAAAAUGUAUAGAUAGUCAGGUUGACAAUACAGUGUAAAUUUGAUAAUGCUUUUAUUUAAAUUAAAAUAAUUCAAACUCAUAAAUAUUCUUUUCCCAACUAAAACAACAUUUGAGAAAAUAAAUAUAGAAAAUAUCAAUCAUCAAAAGUUUUCUAUACAACAGAGGAAUAAAAUAUUUUCACAACUAAUUUGAAAGGAUAAUUGUGUCUUAUGUUUUAUCAUUUUUUUCAAAAUUAAAACAGAUCCCUACUUCUGAAUGCUUGAACUUCAUGCUUUGUUUCUGGCUAUAUUUUUUACUCUUGAUACACUUCAAGAUAUCUUUUCUGCAAGGUAAAAACAGUUUUAAAUAACUGAUUUUCCUGAAAUAAUUGUAAGUUGUCAGGUUACUUUUAUAUCACAAUAAUAUUUGUUGUUUUUAUUCAGAAAAAAAUUGUUUAGGUAUCUUCUGGCAUCCACAGAUUGAUAAAAAAAAAAACCCAAAGUAAUGAAAGUGAAUUUAAACAAGAGUGCACACCCUGAAAUGUCUCACCUUCCUUACUGACCAUUGAUUUUAUAUUGAUAGUCCUAAAUAUAAAGCUUUACUACAACUAUCACAUAAACUUAACAUGAUCCAAGAAAAUGAGAUCAAGGUCAGAUAAACCAAACUGUAAAUACAUGUACACCUUACAAUCAUUCCAUACACCAAAUAUGCUUUAAAUAUAGUUGACCUAUUGCACAUAGUAUCUAAGAAACAAACUUAAUAAGGAAAAUUUAACAUUGAUCAAUGAACCAUGAAAUUGAGGUCAAGGUCAGAUGAACCCUGCCAGACAGACAUGUACACCUUACAAUCAUUACAUGCUUUAAAUAUAGUUGACCUAUUGCAAAUAGUAUCUGAGAAACAAACUUAACCAGGAAAACUUAAGAUUGACCAAUGAACCAUGAAAAUGAGGUCAUGGUCAGAUGAUAAUUGCCAGACAGACAUAUACACCUUACAA
Long non-coding RNA from Mytilus californianus (California mussel), 1635 nucleotides. RefSeq lists it as uncharacterized. Lineage: Eukaryota; Metazoa; Mollusca; Bivalvia; Mytilida; Mytilidae. The record is from RefSeq and is a predicted model, not a curated record. The transcript has 2 exons.